UUUUCAAAUUCUUUCUUUCAUUUUGACUGCAGAAAAAACCCCACAACACACAAGUUAGCUUUACUUUGAAAGGAUGAUAUUUGUUCCGUGCAACCAUUCAGUCAUACCAAUGUUAUAGAUCGUACUUCAAUUUUCGUAAGCCAAUAUGCUAUGGAUAGCCUUGCUGUGGAUGUUCUGCAUUUGGUUCAAAAGAAAUGUAAAGAAGGCCAAGAAGUUAGGCGAGUAUAACAGCUGGGUUGG
Long non-coding RNA from Brassica oleracea var. oleracea, 240 nucleotides. RefSeq lists it as uncharacterized. The transcript is spliced from 3 exons. NCBI's taxonomy places the organism in Eukaryota, Viridiplantae, Streptophyta, Magnoliopsida, Brassicales, Brassicaceae. The record is from RefSeq and is a predicted model, not a curated record.